UUCUUGAGGUUUUGUGCUGCGAUUUAUGUUGGCGACUAGGUUUUGUGUAAUCGAUUGGGUUACUUUCUCUGGUGCGAUUUCUCUUUACUUUCCCUAAUCUAGUACGGCGGCGAGAAUAGAUGGGUUUACGAUCGGUCUACUGUCGAAGUUUCUUUUGUUGUGAUUCUUCUUCGAUAUUGAUUAUUUGGUUAUUUUAAAUGAUCGAAGGUCUAAUACUAGUAUUAUGGUUCAAGUUUUGACGGUCUUUUUAUAUCAUGAUUGGUUCUCGGGACUCACCUUCGUUUGUUUAUGUUAGUGCAAUCGAUUUGUUAGUUCGUGAUCUUUCGUUUGAAGGUUAAUUUUGUCUCUUUGUCUAUGUGAAAUUCUAUCCAUUUAUUCUCCGAGUUUGAUAGUUAUCGGCAGUCGUGGAAGAUUAAUUUACUCAUUGUUUCCUCUUCUCUGGCCAUUAAUGGAUAUCUUGAUGUUCGGUAUUCGCGCUAAGCCGGUGAGCAGCCUCGCAGCCUCAGUAUCAUACUUCAAAUAAUUUCUAUGCAAAUGAGGUUUAUCGUGAUUUGCGCACAUCAAUCUUAUGCCAAAAUUAGCUGAUUCCCUGACUUGGUGUAGCCUGUAGGACGUUUUCUCCCAGUGUCUCCAUAAAUAAAUUGAAACAGGCUGGUUGGUAUAUGGAGUCAUCUCUGGCAAUGAUAGUGUAUAUGGAGGGUGGUGGAGGGAGUAUAGUAUAGUAUUGUUUAACAAUUUUAUCUUCUACAUAGACAUUCCAUGUGCUUAUCGUUAUACUCUUCAAUUUCCAGUGUCUUACAUCCUGGUUUGGUGCUUGGUUAUUUUUACUCUGUUUCAUCAGUUUCUUUUUUGUUACCUGUAUAUUGUGCUGGGCCUCAACAUGUGACAAGAGAUGCAAAAUAAAUUUUAGUUCUGUUGAAGGUGGAGCUUAAGGGGGGGCUGGCUGUGUUGGACAUGGACCAAUAUUUGAUGCUGGUGUUGACCGAGUUUAUGAAGGGUGGCAGAGGGAGUAUAGUAUUUUUCUACUGUCGUUUAUCUUCUUACUGGACAUCUCCUUUGGGUUAUGCCGUUUUGUGUAUAUACAAUGUAGGGAGUAUACUAAAGUGUUUUUGUCUACUUCGUUUUAUCUUCUACGUCGACCUUUCCAAUGCUUAUUGUUAUACUCUUUAAUUUCCAGUUUCUGGUCGUUGGCAAGUUCUUAAUCAACCUUCACAAAGAGAGUUCUGUUUUAAUGCUGCAUUAUCCUUUCUCUCUUUCAUCAGUAUUUUGUUUGUUACACAGAUGUAGAUUUUAUCUUCUACGUAGACAUUCCCGGUGCCUACCUAUAUACUCCUCAAUUUACAGUGUUUUAUCAAUGGCUGGUUCGUAAUCAACCUUCCGUGGAAGCCAGUUCUGGGUUGGUGCUUGGUUACUUUUACUCCGUUUCAUCAGUUACAUUUUGUUACAUGGAUAUCGGGUUUGGCCUAAACAUAUGACAGGAGAUACAGAAUAAAUUAAGUUCUGUUGAAGUGGAGCUUAUGGAGGGCUAUCUUGGUCUGGCUGUUGGACAUGGACCAAUAUUUGAUGCUGGCGUUGAUCGAGCUUAUGAAGGGUGGCAGAAGGAUUAUAUAGUAUCUUAUACUUCCGUUUAUCAUCUCGCUGGACAUUUCCUUUGUUUAUUGUUAUGCUCUUCAGUUUCCUGAUGUCAGAUAUUUGGUACUUCAGUUUUCAAGAGAAGGCAGUUCUGGGCUUUUACAUUGUGACAAGGAGUAUAGAAUAGUGUUAUUUCACUACCUCGUAUCUUCUCCCUGGACCUCCCUGCCCUUAUUGUUGUUCUCUUUGUUAUCCAGUCUCUGACUAUCGGGUGGAUUCUUCAUCAGGCUUCGCUGGAAGGCAGUUCUAGUUUGAACUUUUGAUGCUUGGUUAACUGUUCCCUUUAACCUGUUUGUUUAUUUACCUAUGUUUCAGCCUUUGUCACGGGUCGUUGAAGUGGACCAAUCUCUGAUGCUUGCAUUUAUGGUGUUUAUGAAGGGUGACAUUUAUCCUGUCAUUUGUCUUCUAGCUGAGCUUUCUCUUUCCUUACUAUUAUGCUCUUCAAUCUCCAGAUGUCUGAUCUUUGGGUUGUUCUAUCAGUUUCUAGGGGAAAGUCUUUCUUUGUUUAUACUGUGUGGCAGAGGGAGUAUAGUAUUAUAAUUUUUUCAAGUAAUUAUUUUUUCCUAUAUAGACUUUCUUCGCGUUUAUCUUUACUCUUCAAUUUCCAUUAUCUGAGCGUUGGGUGGUUCUUAGUCAGCCUUCAGCAGUUUACGUCGGAAGGCAAGUCUUGCUUGAUGCUCAAGUGUCUUUACUCUGUAUUAUGUUUUUUGUUUGCUAUGUAAAUGUGUAUAAUAAUGUUUUUGUCUUCAUUGCAAAAUAAUUGUUUCCGUCAAAGUAGGAGUUUUAGUGGGACUGUCAUUGUGGACGCUGUCACAUCUCUGAUGCUGGCAAGGAUAGUGCUUAUGGAUGCUAGUAGAGAGAGCACACUAUUUUUCUGCUGUCAUUUAUCUUCUAGCUGGUCUUUCCUUUACUUGUGAAUCUAUCAGAGUAUGAGCUGAUUGAAGGGCUAUCUUCGCCUGGUUGUUUGACAUGGGCCAAUACUCAAUGUUGGUAUUUGAAGUGUUCUCGGAGGGUGGUAGAGGGAGUAUAGUACUUUUGUAUUUCAUUCAUCUUCUAGCUGGAGUUUCCCCUUUCUUAUUGCUAUGCUGUUCACAUCUCCAGUUGCCUUAUUCUUCUUUCUCAAGGGAAGGCGGAUUGGUGUUCUACAAUGUGAUAAGAGGGAGUGCAUUAUAAUAUUUUUCUGUGCUUAUCGUUUUACAUUCGUUUCUAAUUUUCUGCAGUCAUUUAUCUUCUAACUGGACUUAAUCUUUGCUUCUUAUUAUGCUCUUUGAUUUCCAGAUGUCUCUGCAUGGUUCUAUAGGAAAUUCGGUUCUGGGUUUGAGAGAGAGUAUGGCAUGUGUCUUAAUGUUGGCCGGUUCUUGAUCAACUUUCAGUGGAAGCCAUUUCUGGUUUGAUGCUUGGUUAUUUGCACUCUAUUUCAUCAGUUUCUUUUUUUGUUAAAUUGGAUAUUGUGUUUGUCCUCAACAUGUGAUAGAAUUUACAAAUAAAUUUUGGUUCUGUUAAAGGUGGAGCUUAAGAUGGUCUAUCUUUGUCUGGCUAUUGGACACGAAUCAAUAUUCAAUGCUGGAGUCGACAGUAUUUAUGAGGGCAGGGAGAGGGAGUGUAGUAUUUUCAUAUGUUGUCAUCUUCGUGGUAGACCUACCCUUUGCUUAUUUUUAUGCUCUUCAAUUUACCGAUGUCAAAUAUUUGGGUUCAGUUUUCAAGAGAAGGCAGUUAUGGGCUUUUACAGUGGCAAAGGGAGUAUAGUAUGAUAUCUUUUAUAUUUUUUCUUUUACGUAGACAUUCCCUGUGCUUAUCAUUGUACUCCUGAAUUUCUAGUGUCUGAUCUAUGGAUGCCCUUGCGCUGUUUUGUUUUAAGUUUUUUUACUUGUUGUUUCAUCAACUUUUGUUUAUUAUAGAUAUGGGUAUUGUUUAACAUCUCAACCUGUUACAGGCGAUAUUAAGAACAGGCUAUGGGUUUAUCUAAGUUGGAUCUUACAGUGUGGCUGUCUGGUCAUGUUGUUGCCUGUUGGACAUUGAUGUAGUGUUUAUGGUGCGUUGCAUAAGAUCUUUUGUGGUCCCUGAUUGUUUGCAUCAGAAGGCAGUUCUGGUUUGGUGGCUAGGUUCCCUUUGCUCUGACUUUUCAACUUCUCUUUGUUAUUUAAAUACGGAAAAUGUUUUUCGCUCACCGCGUAACAGGAUUACGAAUAAUUAAUGGUUCUAUCCAAGUUGGACCUUAUGGUGUGGCUAUCUUUAUCUUGUUAGGACAAAACAUGAACUCUUAGAUGCCGGCAUUGAUAUAGUGUUUAUUGUAGGUAGAGAGGGAGUAUAGUGUUUUUUCUGCACCAUUUAUCUUCCACUUAGAAUUUCGUCUGGCUUGUCUUAUCCUUACCAAUUUCCAGAGAUCUUUGGGUUCUUGAUCAGUGACCAUCAGAAGGCAGUUCUAGUUUGAUGCUUGGCUCCCUUUGGUCUGUUUCAUCAACUUCUAUUUAUUUUAUGUAGAUAUGGAUACUGUUUUUGAACUCACCCUGUGACAGGAGAAAUUAAAAAUAAGUUGCGGUUCUAUCCAAGUUGGUUCUUCUGAGAUCUUUGGGUGGCUCUCGAUCAGUUUCCAUAAGAAGGCAGUCCUGUUUUCAUGCUUGGUGUCCUGUGAUCUGUUCCAUCCACUUCACUUUAUUAUGUAGAUAUGGUUUCUUCUUUCCUCACCCUGUGAUAUGACAGGCUGCCAGUGGUACACAAUAGUUUUUCCAAUUCAUUUGUUCUUCUAUCUAGACUUUCUUGCUGCUUAUUGUAUGAUUUACAAUAUCCAGAUCUUAUCUUUUGAUGGGUCUUAAUUGAUUUUCAUUGGAAGGCCGCUCUGAUUUUAUAAUUGAUUUCCUCUGUCCCGUAUCAUCAGCUUUUAUUUUUUAUAUUGUGGUGUGGAUAUUUUUUCUGCCUCACCCUGUGACAGAUGAUAUAAAGAACAAAAGUGAACCAAAAGUUAGAAGAUUAUGGACAGAGCAAUUCAGGAGGGAUAAGAUAAGUCACCUUAUUGCUUCAAAAUGUUUGUGGGCCAAGCAAAAAUGAGAUUUUUCUUGAGGAUUAAUUGAGUUCCAUAUCUUUUAAAGAAAAGAGUAGGACACUUACCAUUAAACUCAUCAAUUUCCAGUAUCUUAUCAUUGUGGGUUUUUUUAUCAACCUUCAGUGGAGGCCUUCUAGUUUGAUACUUGGUUGUUUUUACUCUGUUUCAUCAGCUUCUUUUCUGUUACAUGGAUAUUGUUUUCGGCCUCCACCUGUGACUGGAUGAUACAAAAUAAAUUUUGGUUCUGUUAAAGGUGGAGCUUAAGAUGCUGUAUCUUGGUCUGGCUGUUGGGCAUGAGGAUCUUCUGGCGUUGCAGUGUUUGUAUGAGGGGGUGGGGUGUCUGAGCAAUGGCUGGUGCUCGAUCAACCUUCAGUGGAAGCCAGUUCCAGUUUGAUGCUUGGCUAGCUCUACUUUGUUUCAUCAGUUCCUUCUUUUACAUGAAUAUUGUGUUUGACAUCACCCUAUGAGAGAAGAUACAAUCAUACAAAAUAAAUUUGAUUACGUUAAAUGCGGAGAUUGAGGUGGCUAUCUUUGUCUGGUUGUUGGACAGGAUUAGGAACCAAUCUUUUGAUAUACUGGCCUUAACUUAUUUCACUUGGAGCUUGAGGUGAGCUAUUUCACUUAAUUACCUCAAAACUGUUCACCUUUCAUGUUGUAACGUGAUCAUUUUUCUUCGGCUUAUGUAUUCAAAGCUGAUAAGAAACCCAUGAUUUCACUUA
Salvia hispanica is the source of this 5391-nucleotide non-coding RNA. NCBI's taxonomy places the organism in Eukaryota, Viridiplantae, Streptophyta, Magnoliopsida, Lamiales, Lamiaceae. The record is from RefSeq and is a predicted model, not a curated record.